UACGUAGGUGGCAAGCGUUAUCCGGAUUUACUGGGUGUAAAGGGAGCGUAGGCCGGGUUUUAAGCGUGCCGUGAAAUGUCGGGGCUCAACCCCGGCCGGCCGUUGAAACUGGCGCGCUGGAGUUGGAGAGAAGUACGCGGAAUGCGUGGUGUAGCGGUGAAAUGCAUAGAUAUCACGCAGAACCCCGAUUGCGAAGGCAGCAUACCGGCGCCCAACUGACGCUGAGGCACGAAAGCGUGGGUAUCGAA
Molecule: ribosomal RNA, 248 nt
Filed under: uncultured Muribaculaceae bacterium
Lineage: Bacteria; Pseudomonadati; Bacteroidota; Bacteroidia; Bacteroidales; Muribaculaceae
Description: partial 16S ribosomal RNA
Rfam family: Bacterial small subunit ribosomal RNA
Source: RNAcentral